Molecule: long non-coding RNA, 1493 nt
Filed under: Monodelphis domestica (gray short-tailed opossum)
Lineage: Eukaryota; Metazoa; Chordata; Mammalia; Didelphimorphia; Didelphidae
Description: lncRNA (ENSMODG00000034039.2)
Source: RNAcentral
AUUUCAUUAAAUCCUUCAUUUUGCAGGGGAAGAAACUGAACUCCAAAGAGAUUGUGGUUUGCUCAAGUUCACAAAGUUUAUUAGUAGCAAGCAUAGAACUAGAACCCAAGUCUUCCCAAUCCUAAACCCUUUUUCCUAUUCUAGUCUGUGAUGCAAGAAAUUAGAGGACUUUAAGCUCAGCCUCAAAAUACGUGUCCAGCCUGACUUUUUGUGGUUGUGUCUCCUUAAUUCUCAAAAGAAACAAGCUGCAACAACCAAGGCCAGGGGAUUCUGUCUUUGUUAGCCGUGUCUCUAGUUUCUACUUUCAAAAAACGACAAUAAGUCUUAAGAUCUUAUGAUCUAUAAUAAUUGUGUGAGUGUGUGUGUGUGUGUGUGUGUGUAUUUUGCCCAUGCUAUUAUAUGCCAGGUGCUAUGCUAGGUUCUGGGAAUCUAAAGAAUGAAACAAUCCCUGCUCUCAAGGAACUUACAUUCUACAUGGGGAAAAUGAGUAUAUAUGCACAUGUUUACUUGUCAAGGGCAUAAAUCUUCAGAAUCUAUGAAAGGCAGUUGAUGAGUAAGUCUGCUCUACCAAGUUAUUUACCUGAGGCACAGGUUGGCCUUUGUAAUAGGGAAAGUAUAAAGAGAACACAAGAUGGAAAGUUGGCUUUAAGAAACUGGCGUUGGCACAUGCCAGGAACUUUGGAGGAAGUAUUCUAGAAGCUAAGGGGUAGAGAAAGAAGGGUUAAUGGAGAGGCAACUGUCACUUGGUCCUUGGUCUUGGUCUUGGACUGUGACUUGGUCCUGGGUCUCAGUCUUAGACUGCCACUUUGACCCUGGUCCUGCUCAAGCAGAGGGAGGAAGAGCUGCUUCUAGGAGCUUUUCCUUUCUGAAGACUGAUAGGAAAGACAGAGGACAACCCUUCAAUUGUUCCUGGUGGUUCCUGAUCAGCUGGAGAGCAGUUUGGAGCAGAUCUGGUUAUCCCUGCUGUCUGCAAAUUGGUUGAAUGAUGAAGGCAGAAGUUGUCUUUACUGCCACCUGUUGCUGUGAAGAAGAAAAGGAAGGACUAGACAGAUUCUGCUUUCUAUUGUGAAUGGUUACUAAGAAGAAUAAGUAGAGAAAACAUAUUCUAGUCUUUAUUAGAUUUGCUGCUGAGAAGAGAGAAGGUCAUCUUAUGCAUUGCUAUCUGCGGUGGGGAAAAGUCCUGAAAAGGAAGAGCUUUAAUAAUAAGGAUCAUUUUCUUUUCCAAAAAGAGUCAAUAUAAUGAAUGACUAACAAUAACAAUAAUUAUAAUGAAUUAUAAAUAAUACAUAUUAGAUAUAUAAUUGAAUAUAUAUACUAAUUAUAAUUUAUAAUUACUUAUAAUAAUGUCUAAAAGAGCAAAAAUAAUUAUUACUUCAGCUUAAGGCAUUAUCUAAGCUUGGAGCGGGAAGAGAUGGAUAUUAAGGAGUCAAGGAGUCAAUUCAACUGAGCAAAGUAUUAACUUGAAAAUAAAGCAUCAGAACAUGUAUAACCCA